Molecule: long non-coding RNA, 930 nt
Filed under: Linum usitatissimum (flax)
Lineage: Eukaryota; Viridiplantae; Streptophyta; Magnoliopsida; Malpighiales; Linaceae
Description: long non-coding RNA (LUSI_LNC005489)
Source: RNAcentral
AACCAGCCAAAACAAAGCUACAAAGAACCUUACUUUAUCAACUUCCCGCCAACAAAUCAGCAGAAAUUGACUGCUAUACAUCAAGAACAAAGACAGAAAUGACAAGGAUUGACUUCAAAUCAGUCAGAGAAAUCAACAAGAGAUCUAAACCCCCUCAGAAAAUGACAACAGAACCUCCAGUGAAAAUGAAAAAACCUGCCAAGUGAACAACCAGUCAAGGUUUAUCCAAACUCCAAGCAGAAAUUGCAGGAAGGUGGAAAAUUUGAGAUCUAGCUCAGCGAACCCACCAAGCAAAACAGAUUAGGCGAAGGAAACAAUUAGUGAUAGGCCAACCAACAGACACCCACCUCGGUCUUCUUCUUCUUCUUCCUCCUUCGUAGGUCAGAUCUCUAUCUUUUUCUCUCUCUCUUUCUCUACAGCUUUGUCUGUUCUUCUGUUUUUCUUUCUCUCUGUAGAGCUUUUGUACGUGUAUGAACAGUCAGCCAACAACAACAACUGCUACCCGCGGAGUUGAGCAGCACCCGCUUUAAAUCCACUCAACCAUCAUUCGUCUCUUGGCAGAAAAAGGUCAAGACUUUACCCAACUUAUUACUCUAUUAGCUUUCGUUGCCUUCCUAUUUUGUUUUCUUUUCAAAUAUGUGAAGUUCAAUUCAGAUAAUUUAAUUGCUUUAAAUGAUCAGAUUUGCUGUAUGAAUUUGAUAAAUCAACCAUCCUAACAAAAAUCCUUUUUAAAGUUAACUUGAUGAAAAAAGCUUAAUUUACAAAAAUUUAUAUCUAUAAAAUUGAUUGAAAGAUAGUCAACGAACUUUUUUGAAUGUAACUUAAAGAUAUAAUGUGAAAUAAUCAAAUAAAAAUAAGUGUAGUAGAGAUAAAACGAGGAUAAAGUUUAUACAUUUACUAUAAUAAUUGAAGUUGGUAUUUAUACAAAAC